Molecule: ribosomal RNA, 524 nt
Filed under: uncultured bacterium
Lineage: Bacteria
Description: bacterial SSU rRNA
Rfam family: Bacterial small subunit ribosomal RNA
Source: RNAcentral
GUCAGCGGUGAGAUAUUGCAGCCUGAACUGUAAAAGUGCCGGUGAUACUGUGAGCCUAGGAUUUGGUGCUGUGGGUGCAAUGUGUGGUGUAGCGGUGAAAUGGUUAGAGAUCACACAGAAUAUCGAGUGCGAAGGCAGCUCACAAAGCCCACGAUUGACGCUGAGGCACGAAAGAGUGCGGAUCAUACAGGAUUAGAUACCCUCGUAGUCCACACUGUAAACGAUGAUAACUCGCUGUCGGCGAUCUACACUCGGUGGGCAAGCGAAAGCGAUAAGUUAUCCACCUGGGCAGUACGACAGCAAGGUUGAAACUCAAAGGAAUUGACGGCGCCCCGCACAAGCGGAGGAACAUGUGGUUUAAUACGAUGAUACGCGACGAACAUUACCCGGGCUCGAACGGUGCAGGAAUAUGGUAGAGAUAUCAUAGCUAGCAAUAGUCUGUAUCGAGGUGCUGCAUGGUUGUCGUCAGCUCGUGCCGUGAGGUGUCGGCUUAAGUGCCAUAACGAGCGCAACCCUUGCCAUUA